This 1036-nucleotide unclassified non-coding RNA is filed under the name Hevea brasiliensis (rubber tree). Lineage: Eukaryota; Viridiplantae; Streptophyta; Magnoliopsida; Malpighiales; Euphorbiaceae. The record is from RNAcentral.
CUGGGUGAUGUUAAUUAUAUUACUAUGCAUAACAAUCUUGGGGGUUAGAGGUGAAGACCCUUACUUGUUUUUCGUAUGGAACAUCACAUAUGGAACUCUGUCUCCUUUGGGAGUUCCCCAGCAAGUGAUUCUCAUCAACGAUAAGUUUCCAGGACCCGAAAUCAACUCUACAAGCAACAACAAUCUUGUGAUUAAUGUCUUCAAUAACCUUGACGAGCCUUUCCUUUUGACAUGGUAUACUAGUUUAUUCUUUAUUCUGUUUUUUCACCAUAUAGAAAUUGGGAUCUCUAUAUCUUGAUUGGAUUUGCUACAGGAGCGGCGUCCAACAGAGGAAGAACUCUUGGCAGGAGGGUAUGCUUGGAACCAACUGCCCCAUCCCUCCUGGAACCAACCACACUUAUCAUUUCCAAGUUAAGGAUCAGAUUGGGAGCUUCCUUUACUACCCAAGCACAGCCUUGCACAAGGCAAGUGGUGCAUUUGGUGGCCUUCAUAUCAACAGCCGUUUGCUUAUCCCUGUCCCUUAUCCCGAUCCUGAGGAUGACUACACUGUCAUUGUUAAUGACUGGUACACCAAGAGCCACAAAGCUCUCAGGGAUCUGUUGGAUAGCGGACGCACCAUUGGCCGACCGGACGGAGUCCUCAUUAAUGGCAAAAACGCUAAGGGUGAUGGCAAGGACGAGCCUCUCUUCACCAUGAAACCUGAAAAGACCUACAAGUACAGGAUUUGCAAUGCUGGGCUCAAGACAUCCAUCAACUUCCGGAUACAAGGCCACCCAAUGAAGCUUAUUGAGAUGGAGGGCUCCCAUGUGAUGCAGAACGUCUACGAGUCCCUUGAUGUGCAUGUUGGCCAAUGCCUUAGUGUGCUUGUGACCGCCAAUCAGGUUCCUAAGGACUACUAUAUGGUGGCUUCUACCCGAUUCUUGAAGACCGUCGUCACUGGUAAGGGCAUCAUUCGAUACACCAAUGGCAAGGGACCAGCAUCACUUGAGCUCCCAGAGGCACCUGUGGGAUGGGCUUGGUCUCUCAAUCAAUUUCG